RNAcentral lists this long non-coding RNA (226 nucleotides) under Elaeis guineensis (African oil palm). Its description in RNAcentral is "long non-coding RNA (EGUI_LNC054418)". Lineage: Eukaryota; Viridiplantae; Streptophyta; Magnoliopsida; Arecales; Arecaceae. The record is from RNAcentral.
CUUUGGGCAUGAGGUCUAGGGUGGGUUCUAGGGCUUUGACUCUAGAUUUUUUUGUGAGAAGAAAUAUAAGAGGGUCUUGUUCAAAUCCCCUACACCACCACCUCCUUGUGUAGCUCCAUCUUCUAAUCUAGAAGAGUCUGUGUGAUCCAAAGGAAGGAGUUUAAAUCAGCCAUCCAAAGCCUUCGACGCGAGCUAACACUCUCGAAAAGGAUGAUCUGAUUAGGGC